RNAcentral lists this transfer RNA (73 nucleotides) under Lactiplantibacillus plantarum. RNAcentral's name for it is "tRNA-Lys". It matches the Rfam family "tRNA". From Rfam's summary of the family: Transfer RNA (tRNA) molecules are approximately 80 nucleotides in length. Lineage: Bacteria; Bacillati; Bacillota; Bacilli; Lactobacillales; Lactobacillaceae. The record is from RNAcentral. RNAcentral also lists the same sequence under 1 other name.
GACCAGCUAGCUCAGUCGGUAGAGCACAUCCCUUUUAAGGAUGGGGUCCCGGGUUCGAGCCCCGGGCUGGUCA